AUAGUGGAGCUCUGUGGGUUCAGGUUGAGCAGGACUAUGAUGGAGCUCUGUGGGUUCAGGUUGAGCAGGGCUAUGAUGGAGCUCUGUGGGUUCAGGUUGAGCAGGGCUAUGAUGGAGCUCUGUGGGUUCAGGUUGAGCAGGACUAUGAUGGAGCUCUGUGGGUUCAGGUUGACCAGGAUAUGAUGGAGCUCUGUGGGUUCAGGUUGAGCAG
Larimichthys crocea (large yellow croaker) is the source of this 211-nucleotide long non-coding RNA. RefSeq lists it as uncharacterized. The transcript is spliced from 3 exons. The record is from RefSeq and is a predicted model, not a curated record. NCBI's taxonomy places the organism in Eukaryota, Metazoa, Chordata, Actinopteri, Sciaenidae.